UUGAUGUCAGUUCUAGGUAAAAAUAAUGGAAUGGUUAAUUCAGGACUCUAUCAACAAGGAGUUAGAAGCUAAAAAUAUAAUAAAAGCCAGUCAAUGUGGUUUCAUGGAAGAUAGGUUUAUCAGACAAACCUGUUGCCAUUUUUUUUUUUUUUUUAAACAUGGGAUUACGAGUCUGCUUCAUAAAGUGUCUGCACUUCGAGAAGGAUGUGGAAAUACUCGAAAGAGUUCAAAGGCAGGUCACAAAAUCGAUCCGGUUGCCAGAAAACAAGUUUUAAUGUGGUGAUGCUAAAUGAACUCAAUUUAUUCAGUUUAUUGAAGCGAAGGAGCCUUGAUCACUGUGCAUAGCAUUAGAGAAUUGAAAACCAAAUCCUUCUGCUCGUCAUGAUUUCUUUCUCAUCUUGAGGAAGGUCAGGUGGUUUAUUGGAAAAUUCUAUUUAAUAUCAGAAAAAGUUUUGGCAAACUGAUGUUAACAUUAAGCAGAGUGACUUAUUUUCUGUCUACACGUCUGGAAACUGCGCCUGCUCUGAAACAAACUCUACCCAUUUCAACUGGUAUAAAUCUGAACUACCUGGAGGUGACGCUGGAUGUACAUGGCUGUAACUGAGAUAAGAAUAUGCCUCCUGUGUGUCUCAAUCCACUGCU
Molecule: long non-coding RNA, 642 nt
Organism: Trachemys scripta elegans
Lineage: Eukaryota; Metazoa; Chordata; Testudines; Emydidae
Exons: 3
Source: RefSeq, a predicted model, not a curated record